RNAcentral lists this ribosomal RNA (484 nucleotides) under uncultured bacterium. RNAcentral's name for it is "partial 16S ribosomal RNA". It matches the Rfam family "Bacterial small subunit ribosomal RNA", at positions 30 to 507 of the family's 1533-position model. The record is from RNAcentral.
AUUGAACGCUGGCGGCAGGCCUAACACAUGCAAGUCGAGCGGAUGAAGGGAGCUUGCUCCUGGAUUCAGCGGCGGACGGGUGAGUAAUGCCUAGGAAUCUGCCUGGUAGUGGGGGAUAACGUCCGGAAACGGGCGCUAAUACCGCAUACGUCCUGAGGGAGAAAGAGGGGGAUCUUCGGACCUCACGCUAUCAGAUGAGCCUAGGUCGGAUUAGCUAGUUGGUGGGGUAAAGGCCUACCAAGGCGACGAUCCGUAACUGGUCUGAGAGGAUGAUCAGUCACACUGGAACUGAGACACGGUCCAGACUCCUACGGGAGGCAGCAGUGGGGAAUAUUGGACAAUGGGCGGAAGCCUGAUCCAGCCAUGCCGCGUGUGUGAAGAAGGUCUUCGGAUUGUAAAGCACUUUAAGUUGGGAGGAAGGGCAGUAAGUUAAUACCUUGCUGUUUUGACGUUACCAACAGAAUAAGCACCGGCUAACUUCGUG